RNAcentral lists this ribosomal RNA (402 nucleotides) under uncultured bacterium. RNAcentral describes it as "partial 16S ribosomal RNA". It matches the Rfam family "Bacterial small subunit ribosomal RNA", at positions 360 to 774 of the family's 1533-position model. The record is from RNAcentral.
AAUAUUGCACAAUGGGCGAAAGCCUGAUGCAGCAACGCCGCGUGAGGGAUGACGGCCUUCGGGUUGUAAACCUCUUUUAGGAGGGAAGAAGCGAAAGUGACGGUACCUGCAGAAAAAGCGCCGGCUAACUACGUGCCAGCAGCCGCGGUAAUACGUAGGGUGCAAGCGUUUUCCGGAAUUAUGGGGCGUAAAGAGCUCGUAUGCGGCUUGUCGCGUCUGCUGUGAAAACCCGAGGCGCACCCUCGGGCCUGCAGUGGGUACGGGCAGGCUAGAGUGCGGUAGGGGAGAUUGGAAUUCCUGGUGUAGCGGUGGAAUGCGCAGAUAUCAGGAGGAACACCGAUGGCGAAGGCAGAUCUCUGGGCCGCUACUGACGCUGAGGAGCGAAAGCAUGGGGAGCGAACA